Non-coding RNA from Gossypium hirsutum (cotton), 145 nucleotides. The record is from Rfam. Lineage: Eukaryota; Viridiplantae; Streptophyta; Magnoliopsida; Malvales; Malvaceae.
UGAUAAAAAUUUCUUUUAUUUCUAUUGUUAAAAACUAGUGCGGCUAAUUGAAUAAUCAAAUAGUUACGCAUAACGUGCCAUGUGUACCUCAUGUUGAUGUAUAUGAACCAAUUUUUAAUGGUAGAAACGGAUGGAAUUUAUAGAA